UACGUAGGAGGCGAGCGUUGUCCGGAGUUACUGGGCGUAAAGGGUGCGCAGGCGGCCCGCCGCGUGGGGGGUGAAAUCUCGCCGCUUAACGGCGAGGGGGCUUCCCAGACGGGCGGGCUUGAGCGGCGGAGGGGGGCGCGGAAUUCCGGGUGGAGCGGUGAAAUGCGUAGAGAUCCGGAAGAACACCGACGGCGAAGGCAGCGCCCUGGACGCCGGCUGACGCUCGGGCACGAAAGCGCGGGGAG
RNAcentral lists this ribosomal RNA (245 nucleotides) under uncultured bacterium. RNAcentral's name for it is "partial 16S ribosomal RNA". It matches the Rfam family "Bacterial small subunit ribosomal RNA", at positions 524 to 768 of the family's 1533-position model. The record is from RNAcentral.